UACGUAGGCGGUCAGAUAAGUCAGGUGUAAAAGGCAAUGGCUCAACCAUUGUAAGCACUUGAAACUGUUUGACUUGAGUACAGGAGAGGUAAGUGGAAUUCCUAGUGUAGCGGUGAAAUGCGUAGAUAUUAGGAGGAACACCAGUGGCGAAGGCGACUUACUGGACUGUAACUGACGCUGAGGUACGAAAGCGUGGGGAGCGAACA
RNAcentral lists this ribosomal RNA (206 nucleotides) under uncultured bacterium. RNAcentral describes it as "partial 16S ribosomal RNA". It matches the Rfam family "Bacterial small subunit ribosomal RNA", at positions 568 to 774 of the family's 1533-position model. The record is from RNAcentral.